CACCGUGACUCCUACGGGAGGCAGCAGUGGGGAAUAUUGCACAAUGGGCGCAAGCCUGAUGCAGCCAUGCCGCGUGUAUGAAGAAGGCCUUCGGGUUGUAAAGUACUUUCAGCAGUGAGGAAGGCGGGUGCGUUAAUAGCGUAUUCGUUUGACGUUAGCUGCAGAAGAAGCACCGGCUAACUCCGUGCCAGCAGCCGCGGUAAUACGGAGGGUGCGAGCGUUAAUCGGAAUUACUGGGCGUAAAAGCGCAUGCAGGUGGUUUGUUAAGUCAGAUGUGAAAAGCCCCGGGGCUCAACCUCGGAAUUGCAUUUGAAACUGGCAGACUAGAGUACUGUAGAGGGGGUAGAAUUUCAGGUGUAGCGGUGAAAUGCGUAGAGAUCUGAAGGAAUACCGGUGGCGAAGGCGGCCCCCUGGACAGAUACUGACACUCAGAUGCGAAAAGCGUGGGGAGCAAACAGGAUUAGAUACCCUGGUAG
RNAcentral lists this ribosomal RNA (476 nucleotides) under uncultured bacterium. RNAcentral describes it as "bacterial SSU rRNA". It matches the Rfam family "Bacterial small subunit ribosomal RNA", at positions 328 to 793 of the family's 1533-position model. The record is from RNAcentral.